AUUGAACGCUGGCGGCAGGCUUAACACAUGCAAGUCGAGCGGGGUGAUGGUGCUUGCACUAUCACUUAGCGGCGGACGGGUGAGUAAUGCUUAGGAAUCUGCCUAUUAGUGGGGGACAACAUCUCGAAAGGGAUGCUAAUACCGCAUACGUCCUACGGGAGAAAGCAGGGGAUCACUUGUGACCUUGCGCUAAUAGAUGAGCCUAAGUCGGAUUAGCUAGUUGGUGGGGUAAAGGCCUACCAAGGCGACGAUCUGUAGCGGGUCUGAGAGGAUGAUCCGCCACACGUGGACUGUGAGACGUCCCAGAGUCCUACGGGAGGCAGCAGUGGGGAAUAUUGGACAAUGGGGGGAGCCCUGAUCCAGCCAUGCCGCGUGUGUGAAGAUGGCCUUAUGGUUGUAAAGCACGUUAAGCGAGGAGGAGGCUCUUUUGGUUAAUACCCAAGAUGAGUGGACGUUACUCGCAGAAUAAGCACCGGCUAACUCUGUGCCAGCAGCCGCCGGAA
Molecule: ribosomal RNA, 503 nt
Filed under: uncultured bacterium
Lineage: Bacteria
Description: partial 16S ribosomal RNA
Rfam family: Bacterial small subunit ribosomal RNA
Source: RNAcentral